GGCCGGAAACUUUUAGGCCCAUUCAGUAUCCAACGACUUUCGAAACCAAGGUACCCUACGGCCCUAUCCCCUUAACAUUUGGAUUAUCCACCAUCUCCGUUUCUUUCUUCAUGUUCUGUUUUUUUUGUUCCCCCUCGUUUUGUACUUCUGUUUGUUGAAUUUAGAGUUUUGAUUGCUUAGUUUAUGAAAUUGAGCAAAAGGAUCAUUCAGUAAUCUCGAGAAUUUGUAAAACUAGAUUGGAUUUAAUAUGGAUUUGAGUGUGUGUUCAGUGUUGUGUGAAUACCCUCUAAUUGAUUAGUUUCUUGAUGGAGUAAUUGAUUGUGUGUCUUGAUAAUGUUUUGGAUGUCUGUGUCAUUGUUAUGAACAGUUCUUAGAACUGCACGGAAUAUUGGGAAAUAUGUAACUGAAGCUGGAACCAAUCUCGUACCUAUGAGCUCACUUAGUCUUGUCUUCACCUAUUAAACUCUACUGUUAUACUAUUUUUUGGUUGAAGGUCGCCGUGCCUAGACAAGUUGCUAGAAUCUCGGUGAAGAUUGCAGCAAUAGAGGUUUCGUCGUUUGUUGUAAAGUCGUUUCCAACCAAUGGAUGAUCCACUUGAAGAAGCGAAGAAAAUCAUAGAUAAGUAUAAGUAAUCCGUGUUUGUGGUUUGUGUCUGUUUUUGUGUUUUGUUCUGUUAUGUGAUCAUUGUUCAAUGGUCGUGUCUUGUUAUGUUAUGUUCUUUGAUCAAUGCUUGAAUCAGUUCAUCUCUUGAUUGAUCAAUGUUUAAAUUGGUUCAUCUGUUCUUCGAUCACUGCAGAUAUUCAUGUGGUUUCAAAUAGAAGAUAAGUAUAGUUCUUCUUUCAUUUUCAGCCUGCAGAGGAAUGCAAGUGUUUGGGCUACAUAAAUGGCCACGGAGCAGAUGAAGGUCAUAUGUGUGUGAAGAUUCACUUGAGUCUAAUUAGUAUGAUGCUUCAUUGUAAUCACCCCUGCCCACACCCACGCCCAAUCAAAUUCAACCAUGGUUUGUGUUUCAGUGUAAUGGUUCAUCACUUCAUUGUAAUCGCAGCCUUCUUGUGUAGUGUCAUAUUGUAUCCAAAUCUCUGUUUGGUAAUCUAGUAUACAUUAUCAUAUUGUAUCCUAUACAACAUUAAACAGCCCAAAUUUUGUUCCAAACCCCAUCAUUGGAGAG
This 1168-nucleotide long non-coding RNA is filed under the name Capsella grandiflora. RNAcentral describes it as "long non-coding RNA (CGRA_LNC001504)". The record is from RNAcentral. Lineage: Eukaryota; Viridiplantae; Streptophyta; Magnoliopsida; Brassicales; Brassicaceae.